This 2441-nucleotide ribosomal RNA is filed under the name Staphylococcus aureus. RNAcentral's name for it is "23S ribosomal RNA". It matches the Rfam family "Bacterial large subunit ribosomal RNA", at positions 3 to 2442 of the family's 2925-position model. The record is from RNAcentral. Lineage: Bacteria; Bacillati; Bacillota; Bacilli; Caryophanales; Staphylococcaceae.
UUAAGUUAUUAAGGGCGCACGGUGGAUGCCUUGGCACUAGAAGCCGAUGAAGGACGUUACUAACGACGAUAUGCUUUGGGGAGCUGUAAGUAAGCUUUGAUCCAGAGAUUUCCGAAUGGGGAAACCCAGCAUGAGUUAUGUCAUGUUAUCGAUAUGUGAAUACAUAGCAUAUCAGAAGGCACACCCGGAGAACUGAAACAUCUUAGUACCCGGAGGAAGAGAAAGAAAAUUCGAUUCCCUUAGUAGCGGCGAGCGAAACGGGAAGAGCCCAAACCAACAAGCUAGCUUGUUGGGGUUGUAGGACACUCUAUACGGAGUUACAAAGGACGACAUUAGACGAAUCAUCUGGAAAGAUGAAUCAAAGAAGGUAAUAAUCCUGUAGUCGAAAAUGUUGUCUCUCUUGAGUGGAUCCUGAGUACGACGGAGCACGUGAAAUUCCGUCGGAAUCUGGGAGGACCAUCUCCUAAGGCUAAAUACUCUCUAGUGACCGAUAGUGAACCAGUACCGUGAGGGAAAGGAGAAAAGCACCCCGGAAGGGGAGUGAAAUAGAACCUGAAACCGUGUGCUUACAAGUAGUCAGAGCCCGUUAAUGGGUGAUGGCGUGCCUUUUGUAGAAUGAACCGGCGAGUUACGAUUUGAUGCAAGGUUAAGCAGUAAAUGUGGAGCCGUAGCGAAAGCGAGUCUGAAUAGGGCGUUUAGUAUUUGGUCGUAGACCCGAAACCAGGUGAUCUACCCUUGGUCAGGUUGAAGUUCAGAUACCACUGAAUGGAGGACCGAACCGACUUACGUUGAAAAGUGGGGGGAUGAACUGAGGGUAGCGGAGAAAUUCCAAUCGAACCUGGAGAUAGCUGGUUCUCUCCGAAAUAGCUUUAGGGCUAGCCUCAAGUGAUGAUUAUUGGAGGUAGAGCACUGUUUGGACGAGGGGCCCCUCUCGGGUUACCGAAUUCAGACAAACUCCGAAUGCCAAUUAAUUUAACUUGGGAGUCAGAACAUGGGUGAUAAGGUCCGUGUUCGAAAGGGAAACAGCCCAGACCACCAGCUAAGGUCCCAAAAUAUAUGUUAAGUGGAAAAGGAUGUGGCGGUGCCCAGACAACUAGGAUGUUGGCUUAGAAGCAGCCAUCAUUUAAAGAGUGCGUAAUAGCUCACUAGUCGAGUGACACUGCGCCGAAAGUGUACCGGGGCUAAACAUAUUACCGAAGCUGUGGAUUGUCCUUUGGACAAUGGUAGGAGAGCGUUCUAAGGGCGGUGAAGCAUGAUCGUAAGGACAUGUGGAGCGCUUAGAAGUGAGAAUGCCGGUGUGAGUAGCGAAAGACGGGUGAGAAUCCCGUCCACCGAUUGACUAAGGUUUCCAGAGGAAGGCUCGUCCGCUCUGGGUUAGUCGGGUCCUAAGCUGAGGCCGACAGGCGUAGGCGAUGGAUAACAGGUUGAUAUUCCUGUACCACCUAUAAUCGUUUUAAUCGAUGGGGGGACGCAGUAGGAUAGGCGAAGCGUGCGAUUGGAUUGCACGUCUAAGCAGUAAGGCUGAGUAUUAGGUAAAUCCGGUACUCGUUAAGGCUGAGCUGUGAUGGGGAGAAGACAUUGUGUCUUCGAGUCGUUGAGUUCACACUGCCGAGAAAAGCCUCUAGAUAGAAAAUGGGUGCCCGUACCGCAAACCGACACAGGUAGUCAAGAUGAGAAUUCUAAGGUGAGCGAGCGAACUCUCGUUAAGGAACUCGGCAAAAUGACCCCGUAACUUCGGGAGAAGGGGUGCUCUUUAGGGUUAACGCCCAGAAGAGCCGCAGUGAAUAGGCCCAAGCGACUGUUUAUCAAAAACACAGGUCUCUGCUAAACCGUAAGGUGAUGUAUAGGGGCUGACGCCUGCCCGGUGCUGGAAGGUUAAGAGGAGUGGUUAGCUUCUGCGAAGCUACGAAUCGAAGCCCCAGUAAACGGCGGCCGGAACUAUAACGGUCCUAAGGUAGCGAAAUUCCUUGUCGGGUAAGUUCCGACCCGCACGAAAGGCGUAACGAUUUGGGCACUGUCUCAACGAGAGACUCGGUGAAAUCAUAGUACCUGUGAAGAUGCAGGUUACCCGCGACAGGACGGAAAGACCCCGUGGAGCUUUACUGUAGCCUGAUAUUGAAAUUCGGCACAGCUUGUACAGGAUAGGUAGGAGCCUUUGAAACGUGAGCGCUAGCUUACGUGGAGGCGCUGGUGGGAUACUACCCUAGCUGUGUUGGCUUUCUAACCCGCACCACUUAUCGUGGUGGGAGACAGUGUCAGGCGGGCAGUUUGACUGGGGCGGUCGCCUCCUAAAAGGUAACGGAGGCGCUCAAAGGUUCCCUCAGAAUGGUUGGAAAUCAUUCAUAGAGUGUAAAGGCAUAAGGGAGCUUGACUGCGAGACCUACAAGUCGAGCAGGGUCGAAAGACGGACUUAGUGAUCCGGUGGGUCCGCAUGGAAGGGC